Molecule: long non-coding RNA, 205 nt
Filed under: Mus musculus (house mouse)
Lineage: Eukaryota; Metazoa; Chordata; Mammalia; Rodentia; Muridae
Description: long non-coding RNA chr9:54823913-54824118
Source: RNAcentral
CGCUAGCUGGACUUCCACACUUGAGUCUCUAACACUCUGUAAUCCAGACAGGGUUCAACCCUCCACCUUGCAUGCCUGUGUUAGAGGACUUAAACACACAAUCCAGGAAUUCCUUAUACUAAUUUACACAUUUUAAUUGGUUGCAUAUAUUAACAUGUACUAUAAGAUUCUUUUCUAAGAAGCAUUACAUAAUAAAUGGAUACUG